ACAGAUGUUCGGAGUUCUAUAUCUACGGUUUUUCCAUUUACCUGGGCGGAGGACCAGAUCUCAUACCUGGUUAUUGUAUUAACGUCAUCACCCUCUAAAACAGUUCUGAACAAGCGUUCCAAAGAUAGAGGACUGGAUCAGAUGUCUAAAGGGUCAACAGAAGGAUGGGGCCACAGAUGACUCCACGCGUUCCGUCGCUCCCAAAGCAACGCCAUUCACCCCGCACGUCACACCCGGAGGAUUAUUUACCUGUCUGUGAUUGGGGGAGAGAAGGCAUUCUGAAGAAACGCCGGGAAGGGGCG
Molecule: long non-coding RNA, 302 nt
Organism: Hyla sarda
Lineage: Eukaryota; Metazoa; Chordata; Amphibia; Anura; Hylidae
Exons: 3
Source: RefSeq, a predicted model, not a curated record